RNAcentral lists this transfer RNA (76 nucleotides) under Actinomycetaceae bacterium. Its description in RNAcentral is "tRNA-Trp". It matches the Rfam family "tRNA". Rfam says of the family: Transfer RNA (tRNA) molecules are approximately 80 nucleotides in length. Their secondary structure includes four short double-helical elements and three loops (D, anti-codon, and T loops). RNAcentral also lists the same sequence under 2 other names. Lineage: Bacteria; Bacillati; Actinomycetota; Actinomycetes; Actinomycetales; Actinomycetaceae. The record is from RNAcentral.
AGGGUAGUGGCGCAAUUGGUAGCGCAUCGGUCUCCAAAACCGGAGGUUGGGGGUUCGAGUCCCUCCUACCCUGCCA